RNAcentral lists this non-coding RNA (305 nucleotides) under Hyaloperonospora arabidopsidis Emoy2. RNAcentral's name for it is "Bacterial small subunit ribosomal RNA". It matches the Rfam family "Bacterial small subunit ribosomal RNA", at positions 47 to 380 of the family's 1533-position model. The record is from Rfam by way of RNAcentral. Lineage: Eukaryota; Oomycota; Peronosporomycetes; Peronosporales; Peronosporaceae.
CUGUGUUCAGUGUAAGUAGCUUGUACUUUGACAGUACAAGCGACCGGUGCCCCGGGUGAGUAACACGUGAAUUAUCUACCUUUUAAUUCAGAAUAAUUAUUUUUAUAAAAAUACUGAAUAAAUAAAUUAAAGUUUUUAACGUUAAAAGAUGAGUUUGCGCAAGAUUAAUGGUAGUUGGUUGUUUAAUAGACUACCAAGCCUCUUAUCUUUAGCUGGUUUGAAAGAAUGAUCAGCCACAUUGGGACUGAGACACGGCCCAAACUUUUUUAAAGGCAGCAGUGGGGAAUUUUGGAAAGCUGCAUCCA